GAUGAACGCUGGCGGCGUGCUUAACACAUGCAAGUCGAACGCUGAAGCUCACAGCUUGCUGUGGGUGGAUGAGUGGCGAACGGGUGAGUAACACGUGAGUAACCUGCCCCCGAUUUCGGGAUAAGCCCGGGAAACUGGGUCUAAUACCGGAUAUGACCACCGGCCGCAUGGUUGGUGGUGGAAAGUUUUUCGAUCGGGGAUGGGCUCGCGGCCUAGCAGCUUGUUGGUGGGGUAAUGGCCUACCAGGGCGACGACGGGUAGCCGGCCUGAGUGGGCGACCGGCCACGCUGGGACUGAGACACGGCCCAGAGUACUACGGGAGGCAGCAGUGGGGAAUAUUGCACAAUGGGGGAAACCCUGAUGCAGCGACGCAGCGUGCGGGAUGACGGCCUUCGGGUUGUAAACCGCUUUCAGCAGGGAAGAAGCGAGAGUGACGGUACCUGCAGAAGAAGUACCGGCUAACUACGUGCCAGCAGCCGCGGUAA
RNAcentral lists this ribosomal RNA (485 nucleotides) under uncultured bacterium. RNAcentral's name for it is "partial 16S ribosomal RNA". It matches the Rfam family "Bacterial small subunit ribosomal RNA", at positions 28 to 523 of the family's 1533-position model. The record is from RNAcentral.